GAUGAACGCUGGCUGCGUGCUUAACACAUGCAAGUCGAACGGAAACGCCCCUGCUUGCAUGGUUACUCUAGUGGUCAACGGGUGAGUAACACGGGGGUGAUUUUCCCAGCACCUCGGGAUAUGCCAGUGAAACUGGGUAUAAUAGCCGAUAGGACGAUGGCUUGGCUGCCAUUGUUGAGAGUUGUUAGGUGUGGGAUUAGCUCGCGGGCUAUCAGCUUGUUGGUUGGGUAAUGGCCUACCAGGGCGUCGACGGGGAGCCGGCCUGAGAGGGGGUACGGCCAAAUUGGGACUGAGCUACGGGACAGACUCGUGCGGGGGACAGCAGUGGGGAAUAUUGCCCAAUGGGGGCAAGCAUGAUGCAGCGACGCCGCCUGGGGGGUGAUAGCCUUCGGGUUGUAAACUACUUUCGCUAGGAACGAAGCGCAAGUGAAGGUACCUGGAGAAGAAGCACCGGCUAACUACGUG
This 465-nucleotide ribosomal RNA is filed under the name uncultured bacterium. RNAcentral's name for it is "partial 16S ribosomal RNA". It matches the Rfam family "Bacterial small subunit ribosomal RNA", at positions 28 to 507 of the family's 1533-position model. The record is from RNAcentral.